UCCAGGAGUCGACUCUUGCAGCUGGAGUAAAGCAUUCGCUCCUUGAUGCUGCAGCUGUAUCCAGGCAUGGAGUAGAUGAACACUACAAACACAAUGAGAGACGUUAAAUUGACGGAAGCGCUCAAACCAUCACUUUAGUGGCAGUUGGUGGCAGUUAUGUGCCAUUAAACUGGUUUGCCAACUGCCAACAGACACUACAGAAGAACAAGGAAGGAUACAAUACAUGAGUGCAAUACUGUUGGGCAGCCGUGGCCCAAUGGUUAAGAUCAUCGCCUGCCACCGUGGGGGACCUAGGUUCAAAACCCCGACUGGACCAUCCGCCAACAUCCCCCGGACUCACGGCUGUGGUGUCCUUGAGCAAGACACUGAUACCCCGAAAUGCUCCCCGGGCGCUUCAGCUGCCCCCUGCUCCAGUGUGUUCCACUAACAUGUGUAUGUGUUCACUGUGAUGGGUUAAAUGCAGAGAACAAAUUUCGUGUGCAUGCAUGCAUGUUCAUGACAA
This is a long non-coding RNA of Phyllopteryx taeniolatus (common seadragon), 502 nucleotides long. RefSeq lists it as uncharacterized. The record is from RefSeq and is a predicted model, not a curated record. The transcript is spliced from 3 exons. NCBI's taxonomy places the organism in Eukaryota, Metazoa, Chordata, Actinopteri, Syngnathiformes, Syngnathidae.